GGGUUGUGAGGUUAAGCGACUAAGCGUACACGGUGGAUGCCCUGGCAGUCAGAGGCGAUGAAGGACGUGCUAAUCUGCGAAAAGCGCCGGCGAGGUGAUAUGAACCUUUGACCCGGCGAUGUCCGAAUGGGGAAACCCAGUGUGAUUCGUCACACUAUCGUUAACUGAAUACAUAGGUUAACGAGGCGAACCGGGGGAACUGAAACAUCUAAGUACCCCGAGGAAAAGAAAUCAACCGAGAUUCCCCCAGUAGCGGCGAGCGAACGGGGAGCAGCCCAGAGUCUGAAUCAGCUUGUGUGUUAGUGGAAGCGUCUGGAAAGUCGCACGGUACAGGGUGACAGUCCCGUACACGAAAGCACACAGGUUGUGAACUCGAAGAGUAGGGCGGGACACGUGGUAUCCUGUCUGAAUAUGGGGGGACCAUCCUCCAAGGCUAAAUACUCCUGACUGACCGAUAGUGAACCAGUACCGUGAGGGAAAGGCGAAAAGAACCCCGGCGAGGGGAGUGAAAAAGAACCUGAAACCGUGUACGUACAAGCAGUGGGAGCACCUUCGUGGUGUGACUGCGUACCUUUUGUAUAAUGGGUCAGCGACUUAUAUUCUGUAGCAAGGUUAACCGUAUAGGGGAGCCGAAGGGAAACCGAGUCUUAACUGGGCGUUAAGUUGCAGGGUAUAGACCCGAAACCCGGUGAUCUAGCCAUGGGCAGGUUGAAGGUUGGGUAACACUAACUGGAGGACCGAACCGACUAAUGUUGAAAAAUUAGCGGAUGACUUGUGGCUGGGGGUGAAAGGCCAAUCAAACCGGGAGAUAGCUGGUUCUCCCCGAAAGCUAUUUAGGUAGCGCCUCGUGAACUCAUCUUCGGGGGUAGAGCACUGUUUCGGCUAGGGGGCCAUCCCGGCUUACCAACCCGAUGCAAACUACGAAUACCGAAGAAUGUUAUCACGGGAGACACACGGCGGGUGCUAACGUCCGUCGUGAAGAGGGAAACAACCCAGACCGCCAGCUAAGGUCCCAAAGUCAUGGUUAAGUGGGAAACGAUGUGGGAAGGCACAGACAGCCAGGAUGUUGGCUUAGAAGCAGCCAUCAUUUAAAGAAAGCGUAAUAGCUCACUGGUCGAGUCGGCCUGCGCGGAAGAUGUAACGGGGCUAAACCAUGCACCGAAGCUGCGGCAGCGACGCUUAUGCGUUGUUGGGUAGGGGAGCGUUCUGUAAGCCGUUGAAGGUGGCCUGUGAGGGUUGCUGGAGGUAUCAGAAGUGCGAAUGCUGACAUAAGUAACGAUAAAGCGGGUGAAAAGCCCGCUCGCCGGAAGACCAAGGGUUCCUGUCCAACGUUAAUCGGGGCAGGGUGAGUCGACCCCUAAGGCGAGGCCGAAAGGCGUAGUCGAUGGGAAACAGGUUAAUAUUCCUGUACUUGGUGUUACUGCGAAGGGGGGACGGAGAAGGCUAUGUUAGCCGGGCGACGGUUGUCCCGGUUUAAGCAUGUAGGCGGAACGAUUAGGUAAAUCCGGUCGUUUUUUAACGCUGAGGUGUGAUGACGAGGCACUACGGUGCUGAAGUAACAAAUGCCCUGCUUCCAGGAAAAGCCUCUAAGCAUCAGGUAACAUCAAAUCGUACCCCAAACCGACACAGGUGGUCAGGUAGAGAAUACCAAGGCGCUUGAGAGAACUCGGGUGAAGGAACUAGGCAAAAUGGUGCCGUAACUUCGGGAGAAGGCACGCUGAUAUGUAGGUGAAGCCCCUGCGGGUGGAGCUGAAAUCAGUCGAAGAUACCAGCUGGCUGCAACUGUUUAUUAAAAACACAGCACUGUGCAAACACGAAAGUGGACGUAUACGGUGUGACGCCUGCCCGGUGCCGGAAGGUUAAUUGAUGGGGUUAGCGGUAACGCGAAGCUCUUGAUCGAAGCCCCGGUAAACGGCGGCCGUAACUAUAACGGUCCUAAGGUAGCGAAAUUCCUUGUCGGGUAAGUUCCGACCUGCACGAAUGGCGUAAUGAUGGCCAGGCUGUCUCCACCCGAGACUCAGUGAAAUUGAACUCGCUGUGAAGAUGCAGUGUACCCGCGGCAAGACGGAAAGACCCCGUGAACCUUUACUAUAGCUUGACACUGAACACUGGUCCUUGAUGUGUAGGAUAGGUGGGAGGCUUUGAAGUGUGGACGCCAGUCUGCAUGGAGCCGUCCUUGAAAUACCACCCUUUAAUGGCUGGUGUUCUAACGUAGACCCGUAAUCCGGGUUGCGGACAGUGUCUGGUGGGUAGUUUGACUGGGGCGGUCUCCUCCCAAAGAGUAACGGAGGAGCACGAAGGUUAGCUAAUCCUGGUCGGACAUCAGGAGGUUAGUGCAAUGGCAUAAGCUAGCUUGACUGCGAGAGUGACGGCUCGAGCAGGUGCGAAAGCAGGUCAUAGUGAUCCGGUGGUUCUGAAUGGAAGGGCCAUCGCUCAACGGAUAAAAGGUACUCCGGGGAUAACAGGCUGAUACCGCCCAAGAGUUCAUAUCGACGGCGGUGUUUGGCACCUCGAUGUCGGCUCAUCACAUCCUGGGGCUGAAGUAGGUCCCAAGGGUAUGGCUGUUCGCCAUUUAAAGUGGUACGCGAGCUGGGUUUAGAACGUCGUGAGACAGUUCGGUCCCUAUCUGCCGUGGGCGCUGGAGAAUUGAGGGGGGCUGCUCCUAGUACGAGAGGACCGGAGUGGACGCAUCACUGGUGUUCGGGUUGUCAUGCCAAUGGCACUGCCCGGUAGCUAAAUGCGGAAAAGAUAAGUGCUGAAAGCAUCUAAGCACGAAACUUGCCCCGAGAUGAGUUCUCCCUGAGACUUUAAGUCUCCUGAAGGAACGUUAAAGACGAUGACGUUGAUAGGUCGGGUGUGUAAGCGCAGCGAUGCGUUGAGCUAACCGAUACUAAUGAACCGUGAGGCUUAACCUUACAACGCCGAAG
RNAcentral lists this ribosomal RNA (2927 nucleotides) under Enterobacter asburiae. Its description in RNAcentral is "bacterial LSU rRNA". It matches the Rfam family "Bacterial large subunit ribosomal RNA". Lineage: Bacteria; Pseudomonadati; Pseudomonadota; Gammaproteobacteria; Enterobacterales; Enterobacteriaceae. RNAcentral also lists the same sequence under 1 other name. The record is from RNAcentral.